CGGGCGUAGAUUAGGCAUGCAAGUCGAGCGAUGAUUUUUGGAAGAGAUGGCCUUCGCAAGAAGGUUGUCUUGGAAGAAUUUUCAGAGCGGCAGAUUGGUGAGUAACACGUGAGUUAAUUUACCUUUAAGUCGGGGAGUAGCUUCGCGAAAGUGGAGGUAAUACCCGAUGUGUUUACAUGAACGCAGGUUUGUGUAAGUAAAGUUGCUUCGCAAGAGGUGAUGUUUAAAGAUAAGCUCGCGUCCUAUCAGCUAGUUGGUAGGGUAAUGGCCUACCAAGGCUUUUGACAGGUAGCUGGCCUGAGAGGGUGGUCAGCCACAUGGGGACUGAGACACUGCCCCAACUCCUACGGGAGGCUGCAGUCGAGGAUAUUUAGCAAUGGGCGAAAGCCUGACUAUGUGACGCCGCGUGAGGGAUGAAGGUCUUCGGAUUGUAAACCUCUUUCGAUAGGGAAGAAAAUUCCGGUUAACUACUGGAACUGACGGUACCUAGAGAAGAAGCCAUAGCUAACUCUGUG
Molecule: ribosomal RNA, 515 nt
Filed under: uncultured bacterium
Lineage: Bacteria
Description: bacterial SSU rRNA
Rfam family: Bacterial small subunit ribosomal RNA
Source: RNAcentral